AAGCUUGAGUCUCGUAGAGGGGGGUAGAAUUCCAGGUGUAGCGGUGAAAUGCGUAGAGAUCUGGAGGAAUACCGGUGGCGAAGGCGGCCCCCUGGACGAAGACUGACGCUCAGGUGCGAAAGCGUGGGGAGCAAACAGGAUUAGAUACCCUGGUAGUCCACGCCGUAAACGAUGUCGACUUGGAGGUUGUGCCCUUGAGGCGUGGCUUCCGGAGCUAACGCGUUAAGUCGACCGCCUGGGGAGUACGGCCGCAAGGUUAAAACUCAAAUGAAUUGACGGGGGCCCGCACAAGCGGUGGAGCAUGUGGUUUAAUUCGAUGCAACGCGAAGAACCUUACCUGGUCUUGACAUCCACGGAAGUUUUCAGAGAUGAGAAUGUGCCUUCGGGAACCGUGAGACAGGUGCUGCAUGGCUGUCGUCAGCUCGUGUUGUGAAAUGUUGGGUUAAGUCCCGCAACGAGCGCAACCCUUAUCCUUUGUUGCCAGCGGUCCGGCCGGGAACUCAAAGGAGACUGCCAGUGAUAAACUGGAGGAAGGUGGGGACGACGUCAAGUCAUCAUGGCCCUUACGACCAGGGCUACACACGUGCUACAAUGGCGCAUACAAAGAGAAGCGACCUCGCGAGAGCAAGCGGACCUCAUAAAGUGCGUCGUAGUCCGGAUUGGAGUCUGCAACUCGACUCCAUGAAGUCGGAAUCGCUAGUAAUCGUGGAUCAGAAUGCCACGGUGAAUACGUUCCCGGGCCUUGUACACACCGCCCGUCACACCAUGGGAGUGGGUUGCAAAAGAAGUAGGUAGCUUAACCUUCGGGAGGGCGCUUACCACUUUGUGAUUCAUGACUGGGGUGAAGUCGUAACAAGGUAACCGUAGGGGAACCUGCGGUUGGAUCACCUCCUUACCUUAAAGAAGC
Molecule: ribosomal RNA, 907 nt
Filed under: Shigella boydii
Lineage: Bacteria; Pseudomonadati; Pseudomonadota; Gammaproteobacteria; Enterobacterales; Enterobacteriaceae
Description: bacterial SSU rRNA
Rfam family: Bacterial small subunit ribosomal RNA
Source: RNAcentral